Molecule: small RNA, 83 nt
Filed under: Marmota monax (woodchuck)
Lineage: Eukaryota; Metazoa; Chordata; Mammalia; Rodentia; Sciuridae
Source: RNAcentral
GCCAGGUGUGGUGGUGCACAUCUGUAAUCCCAGUGGCUCAGGAGGCUGAGGCAGGAGGAUCACAAGUCCAAAGCCAGCCUCAG